RNAcentral lists this ribosomal RNA (494 nucleotides) under uncultured bacterium. RNAcentral's name for it is "partial 16S ribosomal RNA". It matches the Rfam family "Bacterial small subunit ribosomal RNA", at positions 28 to 507 of the family's 1533-position model. The record is from RNAcentral.
GACGAACGCUGACGGCGUGCUUAACACAUGCAAGUCGAACGGUGAAGCGCCUUCCUUUUUGGUGGGUGUGGAUGAGUGGCGAACGGGUGAGUAACACGUGAGUAACCUGCCCCCUUCUUCUGGAUAACCGCAUGAAAGUGUGGCUAAUACGGGAUAUUCUGGGUCUGUCGCAUGAUGGGUCUGGGAAAGAUAUUGUUUCGGUGGGGGAUGGGCUCGCGGCCUAUCAGCUUGUUGGUGGGGUGAUGGCCUACCAAGGCGGUGACGGGUAGCCGGCCUGAGAGGGUGGACGGUCACACUGGGACUGAGACACGGCCCAGACUCCUACGGGAGGCAGCAGUGGGGAAUAUUGCACAAUGGGCGCAAGCCUGAUGCAGCGACGCCGCGUGAGGGAUGGAGGCCUUAGGGUUGUGAACCUCUUUCGCCAGUGAAGCAGGCCUGCCUCGUUUGUGGGUGGGUUGACGGUAGCUGGAUAAGAAGCGCCGGCUAACUACGUG